This is a non-coding RNA of Pelobates cultripes (western spadefoot toad), 1324 nucleotides long. NCBI's taxonomy places the organism in Eukaryota, Metazoa, Chordata, Amphibia, Anura, Pelobatidae. The record is from the annotation of a GenBank genome assembly.
CCCAGAUCGGACCAGGGGUUCGGGAGUUACAGACAGUUAAAGAUUUGACUGACCGCAGGGACUCAGUAGCCGAAAACAGUUCCAUGCAUUCUGGCCCUGCGGCCGGUCUAUUUCAGUGAACCACAAAUACCGAACGGUUAGCCAUCCAUGCGAUUGCUACCAUUCGUAUGAUUCCCCUCGUUUAGGGGAAUCUAUCUACCGAACACCGGGGCGUUUGUGUGUUAGAUUCGUAUUGUCAGAGCACGCUGGAGGUCUUAGCGGUGCUUGGUUAGUGGAAUGCCUGGUUUGAGUUCCAGGCGUUCGACAACCAAGUACCGCUGUUCGUGCGUAAGAUGGCCGCCGCCACGUGUUCGGUAGGCGAAAUGGCGGCCACACAUACAGGAACUUAAUUCCCCUCGCAACAAUGUAUCACUCUGUUAAUGGGAAACACACGACCACCCCGGGGUGGUCUCCCGUUCGGUAGUUUCAGACAUUCGAAUAAAAACAUUACAAUACCAUGAAAGUCAAUUCGUGUGGUUAUUCCCUUGGUGAAUUACACCUAUUCCCACAGAAUAAUUAGUCCAAGUGGCAGGGUUUGCCACAUGUUACGAGUGUGAACGUUCUGAUUAAUUGGUGUGAACGUUCCAAUGGGGCACCGGGGAUGUCCUUGUUCGAGAGACGCCUGAGUCGGGAAACAAUCCUCGAAUGCUCCCACUGGUGUCAUUUGCCUGUAUGAAAGGCGGGUGCCCAGGGGAGCUCUCAUUGUUUCCCUUGUGAUUUGACAUUUAUUUAGCCAGGUGUAAAUGUUCUAACCUAACAUUCUAAAGGAGGUAUUGGGGUGGUCCCUGUUCGGAAGGUGAAUGGAUUCCCUUCUUGGAAGACCUACCGAACGGGGAGAGGGCACAAUAAAUGAAAAAUUGGUGAAAAUACACACACACACACACACACACUAAAGAAAGGCAAUUCACGGAUAUGCAGUGGUUCCACCACAGAUACAUUCAUGGGAAAAAGAAAGUAUACCCUCUGUGAAUUCUAUAGUUUUUACAGAUCAGGAUAUAAUAGCAAUCAUCUGCUAUUUAGCAGGAUUAGGUAAAUAUAACCCCAGAUGAACACAUGCCAUAUUACACUGUGUCAUGCUUUAUUUAACAAAAAUAAAAGGAGAAGCCAUGUGUGUGGCAAACCUAGCCACUUGGACUAUAUCAAGAGACUGUACCUUUAAGGGUUGCCUGUAUGUCGGUGGGGAUGUGUGUUCAACUAUGUACAAUGUAUGCUGGCUGUAAUACCUUGAAUUGCCUGUGUUUGCUAUCCGCCGAAUGCAGAUAGCUAUUUGUAUUGGGUUUUCCUU